Molecule: ribosomal RNA, 460 nt
Filed under: uncultured bacterium
Lineage: Bacteria
Description: partial 16S ribosomal RNA
Rfam family: Bacterial small subunit ribosomal RNA
Source: RNAcentral
CCUACGGGAGGCAGCAGUGAGGAAUAUUGGUCAAUGGACGAGAGUCUGAACCAGCCAAGUAGCGUGAAGGAUGACUGCCCUAUGGGUUGUAAACUUCUUUUAUAUGGGAAUAAAAUGUUCCACGUGUGGGAUUUUGUAUGUACCAUAUGAAUAAGGAUCGGCUAACUCCGUGCCAGCAGCCGCGGUAAUACGGAGGAUCCGAGCGUUAUCCGGAUUGAUUGGGUUUAAAGGGAGCGUAGAUGGAUUGUUAAGUCAGUUGUGAAAGUUUGCGGCUCAACCGUAAAAUUGCAGUUGAAACUGGCAGUCUUGAGUACAGUAGAGGUGGGCGGAAUUCGUGGUGUAGUGGUGAAAUGCUUAGAUAUCACGAAGAACUCCGAUUGCGAAGGCAGCUCACUGGACUGCAACUGACACUGAGGCUCGAAAGUGUGGGUAUCAAACAGGAUUAGAUACCCUAGUAGUC